CGGGAUGUCAAAAUCACUCUAUUUAGAGCA
This 30-nucleotide small RNA is filed under the name Bombyx mori (domestic silkworm). RNAcentral's name for it is "ovarian small RNA-4913". Lineage: Eukaryota; Metazoa; Arthropoda; Insecta; Lepidoptera; Bombycidae. The record is from RNAcentral.